AACGAACGCUGGCGGCAUGCCUAACACAUGCAAGUCGAACGAGACCUUCGGGUCUAGUGGCGCACGGGUGCGUAACGCGUGGGAAUCUGCCCUUGGGUUCGGAAUAACAGUGAGAAAUUACUGCUAAUACCGGAUGAUGUCUUCGGACCAAAGAUUUAUCGCCCAGGGAUGAGCCCGCGUAGGAUUAGCUAGUUGGUGGGGUAAUGGCCUACCAAGGCGACGAUCCUUAGCUGGUCUGAGAGGAUGAUCAGCCACACUGGGACUGAGACACGGCCCAGACUCCUACGGGAAGAAGCAGUGGGGAAUAUUGGACAAUGGGCGCAAGCCUGAUCCAGCAAUGCCGCGUGAGUGAUGAAGGCCUUAGGGUUGUAAAGCUCUUUUACCCGGGAUGAUAAUGACAGUACCGGGAGAAUAAGCUCCGGCUAACUCCGUG
This 433-nucleotide ribosomal RNA is filed under the name uncultured bacterium. Its description in RNAcentral is "partial 16S ribosomal RNA". It matches the Rfam family "Bacterial small subunit ribosomal RNA", at positions 29 to 507 of the family's 1533-position model. The record is from RNAcentral.